GUGAUAGGCCUGGAGAUGGAAAUAUUUCAUUUCAGUCUUAGAACUGGUACAGCAUGGACAGCAGCUGUGCAUGUUUCUCCAGUACUGUUGUGCCAAUGUGCCUCAUCCUUGAAGCCAAAUUAACAUUGUACAUUACAUAGUACCAUUCAGCACGUAGGUGCU
RNAcentral lists this small RNA (162 nucleotides) under Chrysemys picta bellii (western painted turtle). RNAcentral's name for it is "TUC338 (ENSCPBG00000016857.1)". Lineage: Eukaryota; Metazoa; Chordata; Testudines; Emydidae. The record is from RNAcentral.